CAGGGAAUCCAUGGAGCUUAAAAAUUGAAUCCAAGAAGAUAUGAGCCAAGGACUGAGCUGUGUAAGGGUGGGCUAAUGCAAUGAAAUGUCCAUACUUGGUAAGAUCCAAUGACCCAAAUGACAGUGUUGCCCAAGGAUUUAGGCAGUCCCUCAAUAAAAUCCAUAUUGAUAUCUAUCCAAGGGAGGGAAGGAAUGGCUGCAGCAGCCCAGGAGAAGCUGAGUUGUCAUACUUG
RNAcentral lists this long non-coding RNA (233 nucleotides) under Nicotiana benthamiana. RNAcentral's name for it is "long non-coding RNA (NBEN_LNC012314)". The record is from RNAcentral. Lineage: Eukaryota; Viridiplantae; Streptophyta; Magnoliopsida; Solanales; Solanaceae.